GAUGAACGCUAGCGACAGGCCUAACACAUGCAAGUCGAGGGGCAGCACUUCGGGUGGCGACCGGCGCACGGGUGAGUAACGCGUAUGCAACCUACCCAUAUCAGGGGGAUAGCCUUCCGAAAGGGAGAUUAACACCGCAUAAUACUACGAAAUGGCAUCAUUUUGUAGUUAAAUAUUUAUAGGAUAUGGAUGGGCAUGCGUCUGAUUAGGUAGUUGGUGAGGUAACGGCUCACCAAGCCGACGAUCAGUAGGGGUUCUGAGAGGAAGGUCCCCCACACUGGUACUGAGACACGGACCAGACUCCUACGGGAGGCAGCAGUGAGGAAUAUUGGUCAAUGGGCGCGAGCCUGAACCAGCCAAGUCGCGUGAAGGAUGACAGCGUUAUGCGUUGUAAACUUCUUUUGUCAGGGAAUAAAAAUGGGGACGUGUCCCCAGUUGUAUGUACCUGAAGAAUAAGCAUCGGCUAACUCCGUGCCAGCAGCCGCCGUAA
This 490-nucleotide ribosomal RNA is filed under the name uncultured bacterium. RNAcentral describes it as "partial 16S ribosomal RNA". It matches the Rfam family "Bacterial small subunit ribosomal RNA", at positions 28 to 523 of the family's 1533-position model. The record is from RNAcentral.